GCUUAAGGCCACACCGCCUGGUUCACCGCCCGAUCUCGUUUGAUCUCGGAAGCUCAGAUAGGCUGGGCCUGGUUAGUACUUGGAUGGGAGACCGCCUGGGAAUACCAGGUGCUGUAAGCU
Scophthalmus maximus (turbot) is the source of this 120-nucleotide ribosomal RNA. Lineage: Eukaryota; Metazoa; Chordata; Actinopteri; Pleuronectiformes; Scophthalmidae. The record is from Ensembl.